Molecule: ribosomal RNA, 468 nt
Filed under: uncultured bacterium
Lineage: Bacteria
Description: partial 16S ribosomal RNA
Rfam family: Bacterial small subunit ribosomal RNA
Source: RNAcentral
GACGAACGCUGGCGGCGUGCUUAACACAUGCAAGUCGAACGGAAAGGCCCUGCUUUUGUGGGGUGCUCGAGUGGCGAACGGGUGAGUAACACGUGAGUAACCUGCCCUUGACUUUGGGAUAACUUCAGGAAACUGGGUCUAAUACCGGAUAGGAGCUCCUGCUGCAUGGUGGGGGUUGGAAAGUUUCGGCGGUUGGGGAUGGACUCGCGGCUUAUCAGCUUGUUGGUGGGGUAGUGGCUUACCAAGGCUUUGACGGGUAGCCGGCCUGAGAGGGUGACCGGCCACAUUGGGACUGAGAUACGGCCCAGACUCCUACGGGAGGCAGGAGUGGGGAAUAUUGCACAAUGGGCGGAAGCCUGAUGCAGCAACGCCGCGUGCGGGAUGACGGCCUGCGGGUUGUAAACCGCUUUCGCCUGUGACGAAGCGUGAGUGACGGUAAUGGGUAAAGAAGCACCGGCUAACUACGUG